GAUGAACGCUGGCGGCGUGCCUAAUACAUGCAAGUCGAGCGAACAGACGAGGAGCUUGCUCCUCUGACGUUAGCGGCGGACGGGUGAGUAACAUGUGGAUAACCUACCUAUAAGACUGGGAUAACUUCGGGAAACCGGAGCUAAUACCGGAUAAUAUAUUGAACCGCAUGGUUCAAUAGUGAAAGACGGUUUUGCUGUCACUUAUAGAUGGAUCCGCGCCGCAUUAGCUAGUUGGUAAGGUAACGGCUUACCAAGGCAACGAUGCGUAGCCGACCUGAGAGUGGGGUCGGCCACACUGGAACUGAGACACGGACCAGACCCCUACGGGAGGCAGAAGGAGGGAAUCUUCCGCAAGGGGCGAAAGCCUGACGGAGCAACGCCGGGUGAGUGAUGAAGGUCUUCGGAUCGUAAAACUCUUUUAUUGGGGAAAAACAAAUGUGUAAGUAACUAUGCACGUCUGGACGGUACCUAAUCAGAAAGCCACGGCUAACUACGU
This 496-nucleotide ribosomal RNA is filed under the name uncultured bacterium. RNAcentral's name for it is "partial 16S ribosomal RNA". It matches the Rfam family "Bacterial small subunit ribosomal RNA", at positions 28 to 506 of the family's 1533-position model. The record is from RNAcentral.